GCCCGGUUAGCUCAAUCGGUAGAGCGUGAGACUCUUAACUAGAACAUCUCAAGGUUGCGGGUUCGACCCCCGCAUCGGGCU
Molecule: transfer RNA, 81 nt
Filed under: Coniochaeta sp. 2T2.1
Lineage: Eukaryota; Fungi; Ascomycota; Sordariomycetes; Coniochaetales; Coniochaetaceae
Rfam family: tRNA
About the family: Transfer RNA (tRNA) molecules are approximately 80 nucleotides in length. Their secondary structure includes four short double-helical elements and three loops (D, anti-codon, and T loops). Further hydrogen bonds mediate the characteristic L-shaped molecular structure. tRNAs have two regions of fundamental functional importance: the anti-codon, which is responsible for specific mRNA codon recognition, and the 3' end, to which the tRNAs corresponding amino acid is attached (by aminoacyl-tRNA synthetases). tRNAs cope with the degeneracy of the genetic code in two manners: having more than one tRNA (with a specific anti-codon) for a particular amino acid; and 'wobble' base-pairing, i.e. permitting non-standard base-pairing at the 3rd anti-codon position.
Source: Rfam by way of RNAcentral